RNAcentral lists this ribosomal RNA (433 nucleotides) under uncultured bacterium. RNAcentral's name for it is "bacterial SSU rRNA". It matches the Rfam family "Bacterial small subunit ribosomal RNA", at positions 355 to 786 of the family's 1533-position model. The record is from RNAcentral.
UGAGGAAUAUUGGUCAAUGGGCGGGAGCCUGAACCAGCCAAGCCGCGUGAGGGAUGAAGGCCCUAUGGGUCGUAAACCUCUUUUGUCAGGGAACAAAAGCGAGUAUGUAUACUAGUCUGAGUGUACCUGAAGAAAAAGCAUCGGCUAACUCCGUGCCGGCAGCCGCGGUAAUACGGAGGAUGCGAGCGUUAUCCGGAUUUAUUGGGUUUAAAGGGUGCGUAGGCGGCGAUGCAAGUCAGCGGUAAAAGCCCGGGGCUCAACCCCGGCGAGCCGUUGAAACUGCAGUGCUAGAGAAGGCGAGAGGUACGCGGAAUGCGCAGUGUAGCGGUGAAAUGCUUCGAUAUUGCGCAGAACUCCGAUUGCGAAGGCAGCGUACUGGCGCCUGACUGACGCUGAGGCACGGAAGCGUGGGGAUCGAACAGGAUUAGAUACC